This 253-nucleotide ribosomal RNA is filed under the name uncultured bacterium. RNAcentral's name for it is "partial 16S ribosomal RNA". It matches the Rfam family "Bacterial small subunit ribosomal RNA", at positions 524 to 776 of the family's 1533-position model. The record is from RNAcentral.
UACGGAGGGUGCAAGCGUUAUCCGGAUUCACUGGGUUUAAAGGGUGCGUAGGCGGCUUUGCAAGUCGGGUGUGAAAUCCCCAGGCUUAACCUGGGAACUGCAUUCGAGACUGCAUUGCUAGAGUAUGGGAGAGGGAAGUGGAAUUUCCGGUGUAGCGGUGAAAUGCGUAGAUAUCGGAAGGAACAUCAGUGGCGAAAGCGACUUCCUGGACCAAUACUGACGCUCAUGUGCGAAAGCGUGGGGAGCAAACAGG